GUUUGGUUUGUUACGGGUGGUUGGCUCUUUGCUUGUGCAACAACUUCCACCUGACUUACCUCUUCAGUUUCUUGUCAAAUGCUUCUAAAGCAUUCGAUUAAAGCAUGGGUUUCUUGUGUUGGAUACCAAUUUGAUGGAAUAGAGUUAUGACCGAAUUUAUGUUUUUCAUCUUGCAUCUUUAAUGUGGUGUGAGAUGAACCAUUAAGCGUUCCUUGUGAACCACAUCUUUAAUGCUUGUACAUUCAUAGGUGUGGAUCACUUUGAGUUGCUUGGUCUCUUGGGUAUGGAACAUCAUGUGGGCAUGGGACUUUAUGAGUCCUGUUGUUGUCCUAGUUAAGCGUUUCUCUAAUACGAUUGUCUAUCACGUAUGGCACGUCUCAGCGUGAUAGGCUAUGUCGGAGAUGAAUGCUACCUGGUUGAUCCU
Molecule: unclassified non-coding RNA, 424 nt
Filed under: Oedera uniflora
Lineage: Eukaryota; Viridiplantae; Streptophyta; Magnoliopsida; Asterales; Asteraceae
Description: partial contains external transcribed spacer and 18S ribosomal RNA
Source: RNAcentral